GGCGGCGUGAACACUGCUCCUUGUCCAUUUCUGUUCAAAGCCGGCUUUGCCACCUUUGACCAAGGAACAAGUGUUGGCAGUGACCCAAAUGUUCCACCAGGUGGCACUCUUGCUCCAACCAGGUGCCCCUGAAAAGGGGCAUCUUAGCCCAACUAAAGAGAUUUAAACUAAUUGCUAAAUUGUUACCAGUUGUUUUUUGAAAGGCCGGAAGGAAUCCCUAGCACGGAUUGGGGUGAGCAGAGAUGCCAUAUGAGGAUAGGCGGAAUAGUCUGGAGAGCCUGGAGCAAGGGCCUUAUCUAAAGCUCCCUAGAUCUGCUUAUGUCUUCUACAGGAAGAUGGGGAUGUCACCCCUGCCUGCCGCACAUGGCCACCAGCCUGGGGUGUAGUGGCCUGUGGGGGGAUUGAGAAGAGCGGUCCCAUCCCCGCAAAAAGUGGGGACCCUCCUCAGGCACAGCCUAAGAUGACAGAGACAUCAUGAAGUCAUAACAUCAGUGGGAGACAAG
This is a long non-coding RNA of Equus quagga, 503 nucleotides long. RefSeq lists it as uncharacterized. The transcript is spliced from 3 exons. NCBI's taxonomy places the organism in Eukaryota, Metazoa, Chordata, Mammalia, Perissodactyla, Equidae. The record is from RefSeq and is a predicted model, not a curated record.